RNAcentral lists this ribosomal RNA (253 nucleotides) under uncultured bacterium. Its description in RNAcentral is "partial 16S ribosomal RNA". It matches the Rfam family "Bacterial small subunit ribosomal RNA", at positions 524 to 776 of the family's 1533-position model. The record is from RNAcentral.
UACGUAGGGGGCAAGCGUUGUCCGGAAUCAUUGGGCGUAAAGCGCGUGUAGGCGGUUCGGUAAGUCGGCUGUGAAAGUCCAGGGCUCAACCCUGGGAUGCCGGUCGAUACUGCCGGACUAGAGUCCGGAAGAGGCAAGUGGAAUUCCCGGUGUAGCGGUGAAAUUCGUAGAUAUUCGGAAGAACACCAGUGGCGAAGGCGGCUCACUGGCCCGGUACUGACGCUGAGGUGCGAAAGCGUGGGGAGCAAACAGG